CCCUUAGAUGUUCUGGGCCGCACGCGCGCUACACUGAUGCAUUCAACGAGUUUCUUCCUGGUCCGAGAGGAAUGGGUAACCUUUUGAAGGUGCAUCGUGAUAGGGAUAGACUAUUGCAAUUAUUGGUCUUCAACGAGGAAUUCCUAGUAGACGUAGUUCAUCAGACUGCAUCGAUUACGUCCCUGCCCUUUGUACACACCGCCCGUCGCUCCUACCGAUUGAAUGCUCAGGUGAGCCAUUCGGACCUUCAUCAUGCCGGUUUCCGGUUUUGAUGAGGGAAAGUCUUGCGAACCUUAUCAUUUAGAGGAAGGAGAAGUCGUAACA
RNAcentral lists this ribosomal RNA (324 nucleotides) under uncultured eukaryote. RNAcentral describes it as "partial 18S ribosomal RNA". It matches the Rfam family "Eukaryotic small subunit ribosomal RNA", at positions 1470 to 1796 of the family's 1831-position model. The record is from RNAcentral.